CAACGAGAAGGACAAUAACUCUCACACUUGACUCCAUCGCAGAGUUAAACGGAGACGCUCAUGACCAAAUAUCCCUGCUGCUGUGUCUCCUCACAAGCUGUCCGUCAAAGAAACACUUUUUAAAAAACGAGAGGAAAAAAUAUCAUAAAUACUUAGAAUUCAGACUGGAACUAACUCUGACCCAUAAAAGCACGGGCUUAGUCCAAAACGCACCGAAGCUGCAGAGGAACGACUCAGGGAGUUAUACUGUCGACUCUAAAACAGGAAACGAUUUCACAUCAU
Long non-coding RNA from Oreochromis aureus, 282 nucleotides. The record is from Ensembl. Lineage: Eukaryota; Metazoa; Chordata; Actinopteri; Cichliformes; Cichlidae.